GGGGAAUAUUGCACAAUGGGCGCAAGCCUGAUGCAGCCAUGCCGCGUGUGUGAAGAAGGCCUUCGGGUUGUAAAGCACUUUCAGCGAGGAGGAAGGGUUCAGUGUUAAUAGCACUGUUCAUUGACGUUACUCGCAGAAGAAGCACCGGCUAACUCCGUGCCAGCAGCCGCGGUAAUACGGAGGGUGCAAGCGUUAAUCGGAAUUACUGGGCGUAAAGCGCACGCAGGCGGUUUGUUAAGUCAGAUGUGAAAUCCCCGCGCUUAACGUGGGAACUGCAUUUGAAACUGGCAAGCUAGAGUCUUGUAGAGGGGGGUAGAAUUCCAGGUGUAGCGGUGAAAUGCGUAGAGAUCUGGAGGAAUACCGGUGGCGAAGGCGGCCCCCCUGGACAAAGACUGACGCUCAGGUGCGAAAGCGUG
RNAcentral lists this ribosomal RNA (416 nucleotides) under uncultured bacterium. RNAcentral's name for it is "partial 16S ribosomal RNA". It matches the Rfam family "Bacterial small subunit ribosomal RNA", at positions 356 to 763 of the family's 1533-position model. The record is from RNAcentral.